CAGAAGCUGCUGAUCUCCUGGGGUUUUCACACACAACAGUCUCUAGAGUUUACACAGAAUGGUGCAGAAAACAACAAACACUGAGUGAGUGAGCGACAGUUCUGUGGGUGGAAACAAACACCCUGUUGAUAAGAGAGGGUCAGAGGGAAAUGGACAGAUUGGUUUGAGCUUUUUUGCCAGGAAGGAUAUAGUAACUCAUAUAAUCACUCUUUACAACUGUGGUGAGCAGCAAAGCAUCUCAGCAUGCAACAGCAGAAGAACACAUUGAGUUCCACUCCUGCAGCCAAGAACAGGGAUCUUAGAACCAACAACGAGUUCCUAUUAAAGUGGCCGGGGAGUACAGCACUGUGCAACAUGGAGCUGUGGCAGCUGCAGACAGGAGAAAUGAAGGCCGUCCUUUCCAUCAGUGGAUGUUUGGUGAAGAUGAAUGAGAAGCAGACCUGACCGAAGAACCGAAUCUCCACCCCACACACACACACACACACACGGAGAGGAGAACUUUCUCCUCCACAGAACUCCAUCAUGCUCCUCUCACCCUCUUCAGGUCGAAGUUCUUCUGUGGCUGGACAUCAGCGUGGACCUCCAUCAGGAACACGACGGUCAGGGUGAUGCUCACCAGCGUGACCUUCAUCAUGGCUCUCCAGCAGGAAAAAAAAAACCAGACUGAACAAAAACAGCUGGAGCAAGCUGGUGCUGGAACACAGAGCUCCGCCCACUCAGGGAACCAGCCAAUCAGAGAUGGGGAUGGGCUCAAACAAAGUCACUUUUCAUGGGAAGAUGAGUUAGUGUGGAAAAAUAAGGCGAGCUGUGUGCUUACAUACACGUGAGUGCAGAAGUUUGUGCACCCCAAGACAAAAUGAAGAACUUUUUGUUUCUGCAAAUUAAAGUUGAGUUUUUAUUCCUUUAUUAUUACAAACAACAAAAACAUUCAGUGAUGAAACAAAACUUUUAAAUGAAGACAAAGCUCUCAUUUUCUCUUUGUUUCGUGAUUUUCUGUUUUUAGGUCCUUUUCUUUCUUUUAUAAAAAGUCUAAACAUAAAAGAAAUAAAACAAAUGAAAAAGGAAUAAAAAUACAAA
Neoarius graeffei (lesser salmon catfish) is the source of this 1077-nucleotide long non-coding RNA. RefSeq lists it as uncharacterized. Lineage: Eukaryota; Metazoa; Chordata; Actinopteri; Siluriformes; Ariidae. The record is from RefSeq and is a predicted model, not a curated record. The transcript is spliced from 3 exons.